RNAcentral lists this ribosomal RNA (1540 nucleotides) under Diploderma vela. Its description in RNAcentral is "16S ribosomal RNA". It matches the Rfam family "Bacterial large subunit ribosomal RNA". Lineage: Eukaryota; Metazoa; Chordata; Lepidosauria; Squamata; Agamidae. The record is from RNAcentral.
GCCAACACAAGCCCAACCAACCGACGCUAACCACGCCAACAACCAAAAAAACAACCAAAACAUUUGCCACAGGAAAGUAGCUGCGACCGAACUCAACCACCGACGCAAUAGAGACAGUACUGCGAAGAAAAUGUGAAAGAAAGUUACACCGAAAGCAAAAAAAAGCAGGAAUAAAACCCCGUACCUCUUGCAUUACCGUUUAGCAAGUACACACAGACAAGGCGCCACCCUAGUCUGACCACCCGAAUGCAAGUGAGCUAUUUUUAGGUAGUAAAUAUAGGACGAACCCAUUUCUGUAGCAAAAGAACGGGAAAACCUAGAAAUAGAGGCAAAAAACCUACCGAACUUGCCGAUAGCUGGUUGCCUGAUACACGAACCUAAGUUCGACCUUUGAUACUAUAUAUAACUUAAAUAAUAUAACCUUUACCAAAGAGCUAGUCAAUGAAGGUACAGCUCCAUUGACACAGGAUACAACCUUAAUCAGAGAGUAAACCAACCACACAAAUAAUGUUGGCUUCGAAACAGCCACCAAAAAAUAUUACGUUACAGUAACAGAGCAAAAAUACAAUACCCACCUACCUCCUGAAACCCACCCAGGCUAUUCUACGACCAAUGUAGAAGAGAUGAUGCUAAAACUAGUAAUAAGAAAUAUUCUCCACGGACAAAAUUUUACACUUAUCAGACCGAUACAGGGCAUCAUGAAACUUUCUACACACCCCAUAAAACAAACUGUAAGACCAACUCAGGGUUGUCCACGGAUGACCAACAGCCUAAAAAGGAACUCGGCAAACAACCUCUCCAACUGUUUACCAAAAACAUAGCCUUUAGACUACACAAUAUUGAAGGUACCGCCUGCCCAAUGAGGGUUUAAACCCUUAAACGGCCGCGUAUAUUAACCGUGCAAAGGUAGCAAAAUCAUUUGUCCUCCAAAUAGGGACCAGCAUGAAUGGCUACAUGAGAGAGAAACUGUCUCUUUAGGCCGGCCAAUGAACCUGAACUGCCUGUACAAACGCAGGCAUACAAAAACAAGACAAAAAGACCCUGUGAAACUUUAAAUGCCCGUCAACCCAGUGACCAAGGCAUUUUUGGUUGGGGCAACCAAAGAGAAACAAAAAUCUCGCCGCCAGUCACACGGCAAACAAGCCAACUGACAUACACUUAGACCCAGUAUUACUGACUAAAGAACCAAGCUACUCCAGGGAUAACAGCGCCACAUUCUUAAAGAGUCCAUAUCAGCAAGAAUACUUACGACCUCGAUGUUGGAUUAGGGUAUCCCAAUGGCGCAAAAGCUAUUAAGGGUUCGUUUGUUCAACGAUUAAAACCCCACGUGAUCUGAGUUCAGACCGGAGCAAUCCAGGUCGGUCUAUAUCUGUUAAGAGUUUCAUCUAGUACGAAAGGACCGAUGAAACAGGGGCUAUUUAGCAAUACCCCCUAACCGCCAAGUACUGCGAACGAAUAAAGUUCCUUGCACACUACCAUACACCCCCCCCAAGAAAAGGGGUAUAGCCCACACGCCCAGCGUGUGGGCUUUUUUGCGCGC